RNAcentral lists this ribosomal RNA (135 nucleotides) under Triticum aestivum (bread wheat). RNAcentral describes it as "partial small subunit ribosomal RNA". The record is from RNAcentral. Lineage: Eukaryota; Viridiplantae; Streptophyta; Magnoliopsida; Poales; Poaceae.
AUGUAUCCACUGGCAUGGGCUGUUGUUGAGAAGGAAACAAAUGAAAGCUGGAAGUGGUUUAUUGGCUUGCUUAUUAAAGAUCUUGACAUUAAUAACAAUGCAGCUGGAUGGGUGUUCAUUUCAGAUCAACAGAAG